UACACUCCUACGGGAGACAGCAGUGGGGAAUAUUGCACAAUGGGCGCAAGCCUGAUGCAGCCAUGCCGCGUGUAUGAAGAAGGCCUUCGGGUUGUAAAGUACUUUCAGCGGGGAGGAAGGCGAUAAGGUUAAUAACCUUGUUGAUUGACGUUACCCGCAGAAGAAGCACCGGCUAACUCCGUGCCAGCAGCCGCGGUAAUACGGAGGGUGCAAGCGUUAAUCGGAAUUACUGGGCGUAAAGCGCACGCAGGCGGUCUGUCAAGUCGGAUGUGAAAUCCCCGGGCUCAACCUGGGAACUGCAUUCGAAACUGGCAGGCUAGAGUCUUGUAGAGGGGGGUAGAAUUCCAGGUGUAGCGGUGAAAUGCGUAGAGAUCUGGAGGAAUACCGGUGGCGAAGGCGGCCCCCUGGACAAAGACUGACGCUCAGGUGCGAAAGCGUGGGGAGCAAACAGGAUUAGAUACCCCGGUAGUCCCA
RNAcentral lists this ribosomal RNA (474 nucleotides) under uncultured organism. Its description in RNAcentral is "partial 16S ribosomal RNA". It matches the Rfam family "Bacterial small subunit ribosomal RNA", at positions 332 to 797 of the family's 1533-position model. The record is from RNAcentral.